Otolemur garnettii (small-eared galago) is the source of this 284-nucleotide non-coding RNA. NCBI's taxonomy places the organism in Eukaryota, Metazoa, Chordata, Mammalia, Primates, Galagidae. The record is from Rfam.
GCCAGGAGUUGUGGCGGGCACCUGUAGUCCCAGCUACUUGGGAGGCGGAGGCAGGAGACACGCUUGAGCCCAGGAGUUGGAGGUUACUGUGAGCUGUGAUGCCACCGCACUCUACCCAGGGGGACAGCUUGAAGCUCUGUCUCAAAAAAAAAGAUUAGGACUUUAGGGUUUUUAUUUUAUUUUUUUGAGACAGAGCCUUAAGCUGUCCCCCUGGCUAGAGUGCCGUGGCAUCACAGCUCACAGCAACCUCUAACUCUUGGGUUCAAGUGAUUCUCCUGCCUCCA